AAAUUUCAAAUGGAGGUACAACCCCUCUGAAUUACCACUUAGACAGUUUGCAGACCUCCAAGAGUCUUCAGACCACAGGCUGAAAACCACUGUCCUAGAGAGAUCACCUCAGUGAAAGCUGACAGAAAUCAGCAUAACUCCACAAUGAAACUACACUGAUUUAGAACAGCUGAAGAUAUGACCUGAAAACUAGAGCCAAUUCAGCUUACAAAGACCACUGAUCUCACUUACAAGUAACAGCUUUCAGUCACUUCCAGCAUUAUCAAGACACAAGCUAGUGAUGUAAAGGUAAUCAGCUAUAGCUUGUUAGGAACCCUCUCUGAGAUCCAAACAGAUGUGGCUCAUGGGCUCUUUACACAUCUUCUCCGAGACGGAUAAAGUACAAUUCAAUGUCAAAAUAGCCUGUCACCGGGUUUACAUUAUGCAACAAAUUGAACCAGGCAAAUACUUAAAUUAAUUACUUCUAACAUGACACUAGAAGAUGCAAGGAAACUAAAAUAUAUCCUAAUAUUUACAUUUUCCAGAACUUCUCCUUUGUUCUACCUCCUCACUAUCAUGUAUUGGCACAAUCUAUCAAGCAGCACAAUCUAACAUGCAUUUAACAAUUUUGUUGUCUUUGACUGAUGUUGUAGCACUCAAAAGUGUAGUGUCUCAUGGACUUCAAUGCAUUUUGAAUCAGGCUCUGUAUAACUUUGUUAUAAACCUAGACCCACUGAAAUAAGCAGGAUUUUUGCCAUCUGCUACCAGGAUGUCAACCGAAGUCACUGUACCAGUGAACUUAAGGCUAUCUAAAGGUACAUGUUUAAGCAAUGGCCUCAAGUAGAAAGGAUCAACACAGUUGCUCCUAAAAUUUGCAAGUGAAAGAAGAAUACCAGAUAGAACUCUACACUAAAUUUUGAGCACUAGGAGAUAUGGAAGAUACAGAUACCAAAGAGAGACAGGAAACAUUCAGUAGAACAGUGAAGGAAGCAGCAGUAAAUAAGAUGGGAGUAAGACUGAAAAACAAAAAGAAAAAUUGAUAUCAAGAUUACUGCAGAGAAAUUGAGAAAUGAAUAAAGAAAAAGAAACAAAAAUAUUUAAAACAAAAAGUUGCUACAAUGGAAGAGAAAAUAUUAAUCAAGACUUAUUUAAAGGAGCUGAUGAAUGAACUUGAGGCUACCAGCCAAGGUUGACAGUGAUCUAUGACAAAAAUGGGAACCUGAUGAUAGCAUGACAAGAAAUCCUGAAGGUUUGGAAAGACUAUUUCAACGAACUUCUAAACAGAGUAUGAAAAUGAAGGAAGUGUUGCUGAAUACCAAACUGAUGAAGUCAAAGUAGUAGAGCCUUCAUUAGAGGACAUACAGAUUCAAGUUAAAAAAAAAAUAGAAACAAUAAACCACCAGGGAUUGACAAUAUUCCAGCCUAAAAAUCAGAUUUGAAGCAUUAAAGUACCACCUUCACAAGAUGAUUAAAAAGACCUGAAGAGAAGAAAGAACACCUGAACAAUGGAAACAGGCAAUAAUAUGCCUAAUUUACAAAAAGGGUGAUCAAAGAGAGGGUAAUAACUACUGAGGUAUCUCCUUACUGUGCACAACAUAAAAAGUUUUCUCAACUGCUGCUAAACCAAUUGCUCCCAUUUGCACAAGAAGUUGUGCAAGAUUACCAGCAUGAAUUCAACAAAGAGAGAUGAACCAGUGAUCAGAUAUUGUCAAUAAGACUGCUGCUGGAAAAAAAUGGGAAGCUGUGAAAGAUGUACAUCAGGUUUACAUAAACUUUGUCAAAGCUUCUGAGUAUAUUAGAAGAGAGUCACUAUGGUCAGUCAUGUUGGGUUUGGAACGCCCCCCCAAAAAUGGUGCACCUUAUUAAGAUGUGCAUUGAAGGAUCAAGAUGUCACCUGAGAAUCAAGGGAAUACUAUCAGACCAGACAGAAAUCAGUAGUGAGCUCAAACAAUGGGAUGCACUAUCAUUGAUGCUUUCCAACAUGAAGCUUAAGAAGGUUAUAAGAGCUGCUGAAGAAGGAGAAAAAGGUCUGCAGCUGAACAGACUGAGCCAGGUAUUUACAUAGACAGAUAAUAUCUAUCUAGUAAGAGAGGUAAUGGAAACAGUACAAAAGAAUAUAGAGAUCAAGAAGUUGGGGUUGCUGUCAAAGUCAGCAAUACUACAUACAUGAUCACAUCCAGAAAUAGACCUCAAGAUCACAGAAAGAUAAGAAUACGGAAUAACAAUGUGGAAAAGUUAGAGAGAUUUAAAUAUUUUGGAACAGUAAUGACUGAGGACAAGCAAAUAACUGAUGAAAAUCAAGGCAAGAAUUUACAGUGCUGAGAUAUACCUGUUGAACCUGCAUAAAAUAAAAGCAUCAAGGAAGAUCUCAAAGUUAAAAUCCAGCUUUAUGGUACAAUUGUUCAACCUGUCCUUUUAUAUGGAUGUGAAUCAUGGACACUGACAAAGGCAAACAGAAAAAGGCUCAAGUGUUUGAAAACAAAGCACUAAGAAAAAUAUUUGGUGCACUACAAGAAAACAGAAUAUGUAGGAGAAAACAUAAGAAUUUGUGAACCUCACCAGAACACCUGAUGUCUUGAGCAAGAUAAAAAUGAAAUAGGCAGGGCAUAUUGAAAACCAACAAGAGAAGGCACAUAAAGCAGAUUUGGGAAGCUGAGGUGCAAUCCUGUGAGGUGCAGAUUACAACUGACUUUUUUUUUUUUUCCCCCCACAAGUAAUCCAACUGGGAUUUUCCCAUUAUAAAUUUAAGAUCAUGUGACCAGUUGCCAAUGUAGCAAAUACAGAACUCUGAAUUUAACCAGACAGAACUGCAUCAACAUCAGAGACAUUCAAAGAGCUCUUAGGAAUUCAGCAUUUAGACAGCCAACUACAAAUCCUGUGAUGUCAGUAGACCUGUGCUAGGACUGGUUUUGGCCUGGGUUUUACAUUUUAAAAACCUUGAAUAUGCAAUAUUAGAGGGGAAAUCUAAAAUCUGGGGGUGUCUACACGUGCCAUUAGGGGGGCAGCAAUAAACUGUGGAGCUUAUUGCUCUACAGUUUAUUCUUCCAUGGAAACUCCCAGGUGUGUGGUUUACCCAUGUGCCCAGACUGCAGUACACUGAGCCAGGUUGCAACAGCCUCCGCUGGCAGGGAGCACAAGGG
This is a long non-coding RNA of Alligator sinensis (Chinese alligator), 3119 nucleotides long. RefSeq lists it as uncharacterized. NCBI's taxonomy places the organism in Eukaryota, Metazoa, Chordata, Crocodylia, Alligatoridae. The transcript has 3 exons. The record is from RefSeq and is a predicted model, not a curated record.